UUAAGCGCGUCAUUAACCAUCCCUUCGGCAGUGGUAGCCAUUACCUGGGCAAACAGACGCCCCUGACCGCCCAUCGCUUCAUGAAGUUCCGGAAGCACAACAUCCAGCGGUUUUUUACCCGCGGCGAUAAUGCUUGGGUUAGUGGUCACACCCGCCAGCGGAAAAAUACGUGACAGCGCCUUCACCGCAACAACGUCUGAAGUAUCCAGAUACAGUUCCAUAACCAUCCUCAAAAUGUACUUUUUGUCUGAAUGUAGACUAUCACGGGAAAACUCUCUGAACAGUUGAC
RNAcentral lists this unclassified non-coding RNA (289 nucleotides) under uncultured fungus. Its description in RNAcentral is "sequence contains ITS1". The record is from RNAcentral. Lineage: Eukaryota; Fungi.